CAACGUGGGUUACGUGCCCCGAUGAUUGGGACAACCCGAGGAAACUCGGGCUAAUACCAAAUGUGCUCGUGUCCGUGAUGGACUCGAGGAAAGGAAGCUUCGGCCUCCGCAUCGGGAUCGGCCCGCGGCCCAUUAGCUAGUUGGUGGGGUAAUGGCCUACCAAGGCGACGAUGGGUAGCUGGUCUGAGAGGACGAUCAGCCACACUGGGACUGAGACACGGCCCAG
Molecule: ribosomal RNA, 226 nt
Filed under: uncultured bacterium
Lineage: Bacteria
Description: partial 16S ribosomal RNA
Rfam family: Bacterial small subunit ribosomal RNA
Source: RNAcentral